This 612-nucleotide ribosomal RNA is filed under the name Triticum aestivum (bread wheat). RNAcentral describes it as "partial small subunit ribosomal RNA". Lineage: Eukaryota; Viridiplantae; Streptophyta; Magnoliopsida; Poales; Poaceae. The record is from RNAcentral.
CGAAAAGCUAUCCAUGAAGCGAUUUUUCAAACCCCACAUGCAACAAAAUACUUCGUCAAUCGCUUCAUCAGGGAUUUAGAGGUGGUGAAGGAGAAUCAUAGGGUAACAAGCGUGCCGGCUGCACCUGCCAGACGACCUACUGCACCACCAGCGAACUUCGUUAAGAUACAUGUGGACGCAGGGAUCAGGGCACAGAGAAGAGGGUCAGCUGCCGCUAUCUGUCGAGACAGUCAUGGCGUCUAUUUAGGCAGUGCGGCAUUGAUAAUCGAUGGGGUGUAUGAUCCCGCAACCAUGCAGGCUAUAGCCUGCCGAGAGGCUAUUUCAUUAGCACAAGACCUUCAAGUCCAUAAUCUUGUCAUAUCUUCAGAUUCAAAACAGGUGGUCAAUGACAUUGUGAAGGGCAGUCAAGGGGUGUACGGAGCUACCAUCAACGAAAUUCAAGCCAGAUCGGAGGCCUUUUCUUGUAAUUUCAUUUAUGAAAGUCGAGUAGUUACUUUAGAAGCUCAUAAACUAGCUAAGUUUGCUCUUACUUUAGCUCAGGGGCGUCAUGUGUGGCUUGGCCGGCCACAUGACCCAGUUUGUAUCCCACUCUCUGUGGAGUUUAAUCAAUAA